AUACGGAGGAUCCGAGCGUUAUCCGGAUUUAUUGGGUUUAAAGGGUGCGCAGGCGGCCAUUUAAGUCAGCGGUUAAAUCGUGGGGCUCAACCCCAUUCUGCCGUUGAUACUGGGUGGCUUGAUUGCGGUCGAGGUUUGCGGAAUUCGUUGUGUAGCGGUGAAAUGCAUAGAUAUGACGAAGAACACCGAUUGCGUAGGCAGCUGGCCAGACCUAAAAAGACGCUCAUGCACGAAAGUGCUGGGAUCGAACAGGAUUAGAUACCCUGGUAGUCCUCACAGUAAACGAUGAAUGCUUGUUUUCGGCGAUAUAAUGUCGGAGGCAAAGCGAAAGCGAUAAGUAUUCCACCUGGGGAGUACGCCGGCAACGGUGAAACUCAAAUGAAUUGACGGGG
RNAcentral lists this ribosomal RNA (392 nucleotides) under uncultured bacterium. Its description in RNAcentral is "partial 16S ribosomal RNA". It matches the Rfam family "Bacterial small subunit ribosomal RNA", at positions 523 to 918 of the family's 1533-position model. The record is from RNAcentral.